Molecule: long non-coding RNA, 442 nt
Filed under: Rattus norvegicus (Norway rat)
Lineage: Eukaryota; Metazoa; Chordata; Mammalia; Rodentia; Muridae
Description: long non-coding RNA NONRATT029654
Source: RNAcentral
GAGUUGAGGCUCAAGCAAAGUGAGUUCCUCCUGGCCCUGAGAAGGUGGAAGGUUUAGACAGUGUGACCUCAUCAUCCCCUGUGAGCUUUGCAACAAGACUGAAAAGCCAACCAGACAACCACGAGUCUAGGAUCAAAGUGUCUGCACAGCAAUCCUGUUCCACGGCGACAGCGGAUGGACGCUACUGCAUAAGAGAAGCUGAAGAGACUCAGUCGCAAUGUGGAUGAGAAGCAGCCAGGCAGAAGAAGAGUGCAUGUGGUUGCAUCUCUGUGGAGUUCAGAAUCAGGCGUGACUCAUCUGGGCUGCCAUCGCAGGUGCCAUCUACAGUAUCUGAAGGAGCUGGUCCACCUGGCACAUGGGGAGUCCUUCUCUGUAUUGGUCAGCAUUCAAUAGACACAUGAGCGUUUAUCCCCUCUAAUAUAUUUGGAUUUUGGUAACCGAU